GCCGCUUGUUGAAGAGAAGGUGGCUCUGCCCGGAUUUGUACAGACUGGGAUGGCGAAGGCUGUUCUGGUCGUUAACAUCCUGAGGGGACAAAAGCGAGGAAACGCGGCGGUAAUAAUAGGCUGAAUUGUCACGUCAGAUGAUUUGAGUUCACCCACCUGUGCGGAAAAACCACAGAAGAAGCCGUACCAGAAGUGAACCAGGGUAAAGGCAAAGUUUUUGUAGAAGAAGUAACUUAAAAAACUGGACAUGCGGAAAUAGGACCAGCGUCCGUGUACCAGCAGGAGCCUCUGCAGACACCGAAACUGAGCAAAUGAGAAGUCUGAGGCCAGAACCGCCUGCAUUCCCUCCUGACCACUGAUGCCAACACCGAUGUGAGAAGCUGGGAAGAAGAGCACAGGAUUAGGAUCUGGUCAUGAUGGAAGGACUUUAACUAUGAAAGACACCUAAAUAUCUGUUAAUCAAAUGAUGAGAACCAGAUUAUGAGAACCAUGCAAAACUACAAAAUAAAGUAGGAUUAUAUAAAUUA
Oryzias melastigma (Indian medaka) is the source of this 527-nucleotide long non-coding RNA. RefSeq lists it as uncharacterized. Lineage: Eukaryota; Metazoa; Chordata; Actinopteri; Beloniformes; Adrianichthyidae. The transcript is spliced from 2 exons. The record is from RefSeq and is a predicted model, not a curated record.